This 1066-nucleotide unclassified non-coding RNA is filed under the name Megachile rotundata (alfalfa leafcutting bee). Its description in RNAcentral is "uncharacterized LOC105662610, transcript variant X1". Lineage: Eukaryota; Metazoa; Arthropoda; Insecta; Hymenoptera; Megachilidae. The record is from RNAcentral.
UACCAAAGAUUCCUUAGUAUUGUGCAAAGAAAAUGAUCUCACGCCUACACGAAGCGCAAUUCUUUAAAGUAUCUCGCAAGAAACGUUUACGAGCAAAACAAGAGACUCGGUGACUUGAGUGGCAUGCGCUGCAACUUUUUUUGCAAAAAAACAACAGAAAAAUACAUCGUUCAAGGGCGAAGAGUCAACGCGGGAAACGUUUCCAUUGGUCCAGUGUUGCAGCGACUUCUCGAAAGGUACCACCAGUUACAGAUAUAUUUCUUCACCUUAUCAAGUACCAUAUGUUCUAAAAGAUCAGAUCGUGAAAUCAGCUGAUGCGAAAGUCAGGAUGCGCUUCAGCAACGAAAGUAUAGAGAAGCAACGACCUAUCGCAAAACAUUUGAAACGUGAAAUACGUUGAAGAAAUAGCGAGGAAACAGGGGGAGAAACCAGUAGCAGACGUGGCUCUUUGUUCUUCCGAAGACGCUGAAGCCGAGGUCAAGCGAAACGCAAGCGUGCGGUCCAUGGUCGACGUUCAAACCAGUUUCCAUUAAAAAGACUUUCGGUGGCGCCUUCACGUGGUGUUUCCCCGAGGCUGCCGCAGGAUCACCGACGCCAUUCUACAGGAUAUUGACCUACCGAUGCCAUCUUGGAUCACGGUUUACGUGAUCGUAGUACUACUCACAGCUGGCACCUACAUAUCCUCGUGCUCGGCACACUCUUGAUUGCUUUCGAAACAUGUAUCGGUUUCGAGCGUGAACCUAUUAAGUCUGAUUCAUCGUAAAUCUACUCUCUCUUAUUGUGGGCAAACCUACUUUUUGGGCAAGAAAGUUGUUGCAAUUGGGAGAGUUUUUCGUUUUGAGCCAUUUUUAAUUUUGAAAAUGAAUCUUGUUUUUAUUGAAGUUUGUUGAGACAAGUUUUAUUUCUUAAUGAACCAUUUGUUUUUCUUUAAAUACUAUCUGGAUGGAAGAGUUCAAGGUGGUUGAUGAAGUAUGUGGUUUUGUAUUUGAGAGAAAAGAUGCAUUUUUAAUAUGUAACUGUACACAUCAUAUGUGUCUGAUGUGGUGACACCAGCACUUAAAAUAAC